Daphnia magna is the source of this 133-nucleotide long non-coding RNA. RefSeq lists it as uncharacterized. The transcript has 2 exons. The record is from RefSeq and is a predicted model, not a curated record. Lineage: Eukaryota; Metazoa; Arthropoda; Branchiopoda; Diplostraca; Daphniidae.
AAAAUAAAAAAAGGUUUCCAUCUUCUUCCAGCUCAGGAUCAUAUUGAAUGAUGUUACGAUACAGCUGUUACCUGUAAAGAACACUACAGAAAAAUUAAUGCUCAAUACAAGCUGUUUGAAUAAUCACUAAAAA